Molecule: long non-coding RNA, 2697 nt
Organism: Ictalurus punctatus (channel catfish)
Lineage: Eukaryota; Metazoa; Chordata; Actinopteri; Siluriformes; Ictaluridae
Source: Ensembl
CUCAGUUGUGUCUGAAUGGUACUACAAGUUCUCAUCUUUUUUCCAGACAUUUUAACGUCGUUCAAAGUUAAACGUGCAAACAAAAACCUAGUAGAGUAAGUCAAAAUCAAAUGUAUGGCUGAAAAGCGCAAGUUAAUUACAGUUUUAAUCAGAAACAGCAGGAGCCUCCUGUUCCAUGUUACUCCACUGGCAGCUCGGCAGCGCCCCGAAAUUUUUCGUUUCAGACAACUCAUCUGUCGUAUAGUUCCACGUUUAAUAAACAUUUAAAAUCCAUCGUUUUGACCCAAAAUGUUUUUGAAAGGUAACCACUUAACCUCAUGAACUCCACGAACCUGCUCAUGAAUCCAGUUUUGCAUUGUUUUCUUCUCAUAACUUUUGUAUUAGUUUCAGGAUCUCAUCAGAGUCAUCAGUCUCCGAACUCUCGUUAAAGUUAUAAGGCUAACGGUAAUACUCAGGACAGGGUUAGAGUUCUCUAGUCAAAUCCAUAAACCCAAGGGCUUUUGGGAAAUCAAUCAUUCCUUCACAUAAAUGUCUAUCUGCAAGGUUCCAGGGAGAAAAACCAGAUGAGUUCAUGGAUUUAUUAUCUGCUGCAGGAUGUCAUGAAUAAUUACUGAGGAAACCACUGAAUCCAUCAAGCUGAGGGAAAUGAACAGCAAAAAAAAUGGACUUUUGUUUCCAGGGAAUCGAUCGGGCACGUCGGUUUUCGUGACAAACUCGUCAUGACGACUGAGCCGUAAUGAGAGUAUCAUAAACCUGGAUGAUUGUGUAAGUAGACUGUGUGCUGGUAGAAUCAGAUGAAAAUAGAUAGAGUGGAAAAAAAAAUUACAAUAGCGAUAGCAGACGAUUACGGACCGAAUGUACUGAGGUGCAGCAAAGGGUUAAAGUGAGACUUAAUGAUUCUUAAAAACUUGGAGAGGGUACAGCUGUGAGUUUUCUGAUUGUAUCUGCAGUGUGAUGGAUAGCAAGGACCGAAAUCAUGGUCACUGCAUUACAGAAACAGUCAUGUCCACAGGAAAAAUAGUAAGAGCCAAUAACAUUUCAUCUUAACAGAUCUAUAUUUGAUAGAUAUCAUAUAGGUAUUAUAGAGGUCAUAAUGCAUUAUAUAGGUAGCAUAUAGCUCAUAAUGCAUUAUAUAGGUAGCAUAGAGGUCAUAAUGCAUUAUAUAGAUAUCAUAGAGGUAAUAAUGCAUUAUAUAGAUAUCAUAGAGGUAAUAAUGCAUUAUAUAGAUAUCAUAGAGGUAGCAUAGAGGUAAUAAUGAAUUAUAUAGAUAUAAUAGAGGUCAUAAUGCAUUAUAUAGAUAUCAUAGAGGUCAUAAUGCAUUAUAUAGGUAUCAACUAUGUUAUAAUGCAUUAUAAAGUUAUAUAGGUAAUAAUGCAUUCUAUAUAAAUUAAAUAUAUAUUAAUGUAUUGUAUAGGUGAUAUCGUAUCAACUCACCGAUCAUCGGUGUCACUGUCCGAGUCACCUACAAAUUCAACUUUAACCCCUGGGUGCAUCAUGGGAAAAGAAUCAACCUGACUACACUGUAAACAGCUGCAUUUAAAUAGACUCUGAUGAAAUUAGCAUCACAGAAGCAGCGACGUUCACACAAAGUGAGCUUUUAAAAGCUUUUACUCCGUCACUUUUUAAGCUUAAUAUUUAAUUACGCGCUCGUUCUGAUACGUUAUCGUUUCUAUAGUAACGGCUCGUUCAAAGGGACGGCGGACGCUCCACAUGAGCACACAAACAGAAUCCACUGAUAUGCUGAUUGGUGAUAAUCACUGAUGUGGUAAAUUAGGCAAGAAAAUCUUAAAUGAACAUUUAAGAUUUAAGAGGCUGGAGAGGCAAUGACCGUGUUUAGUGGCUAUAUUGUAACCAACACUAAAUGUAACUAUGAAAUGAUAGAAAGGGACGAUGUUGUUUAAUAAAUGAAAAACGUAAUCAUUGGUAUAAGAGGAAUAAAACACUUCAGUUUUAGGACCAUCGUUAACUGUAGGCUGGGAACAGUAACUAAAAAAAAAACAAAACAAAUCACAUCACACCAUCGUUGAUUAUUCUCCCAUAACAGCAUGACACCAAGAGUUAAAUUCCUCACGUCAGUGACUGAUUUAUCAUCGAAUCCACCUCUUAUUGCUUAAUUUAUCGUUUUGCUCGAUUUCACAUAUCCCACAUGUAUCGGACAAGAUUCGAUGAUCUUGCGUGUUUCAUUUGUACGAAUGAACUCUGCCAUUCUUCAAACGUCAGAAAAAGUUCAGCGCUAUCACGAUCUGACACGAAACGUCGUGUUUAUCCAACGAAACGCUUCCAAAACAUUCGAAUCUAUUUGUUUCCUUCCUGCCAGUGUUGCCGUUUUGUUCCCUUAAGGAAAAGGUCUGAGAAACAGCAGGAAGAAAGUGGUCAUUUCCACCGCCCACACACACACACACACACACACACACACACCAACAAAUAUACACAAUAUCACCGAAGACAGGCGUGAGUCAGAGAGAAAAGCCGGUAAUAUCACACUCUCUGUAGUUUCACUGAAAACAACACUUUUUUUUGUCUUUUAAUCCCGAGGCUGUAGAGAAGUCAUGGAAGAGCAGCGGGGUGUGACGGACUGAUAGAAGUGUGCGUCACGGUCUAAUCUCUCGUCUCUCUCUCAGAACAGUACACUGAAAACCCUGACAAGAUGACUGUACUCAAUUGAUUGAGUAAACCCGUUCCCUCGAUUUGACGGAG